AACGAACGCUGGCGGCAGGCUUAACACAUGCAAGUCGAACGCUCUCUUCGGAGAGAGUGGCAGACGGGUGAGUAACACGUGGGAACCAACCCUUCGGUACGGAAUAGCUCAGGGAAACUUGGGGUAAUACCGUAUACGCCCUUAGGGGGAAAGAUUUAUCGCCGAAGGACGGGCCCGCGUCUGAUUAGCUUGUUGGUGAGGUAAUGGCUCACCAAGGCGACGAUCAGUAGCUGGUCUGAGAGGAUGAUCAGCCACACUGGGACUGAGACACGGCCCAGACUCCUACGGGAGGCAGCAGUGGGGAAUAUUGGACAAUGGGGGAAACCCUGAUCCAGCCAUGCCGCGUGAGUGACGAAGGCCUUAGGGUUGUAAAGCUCUUUUGGCGGGGACGAUAAUGACGGUACCCGCAGAAUAAGCUCCGGCUAACUUCG
RNAcentral lists this ribosomal RNA (431 nucleotides) under uncultured Hyphomicrobiaceae bacterium. RNAcentral's name for it is "bacterial SSU rRNA". It matches the Rfam family "Bacterial small subunit ribosomal RNA", at positions 29 to 505 of the family's 1533-position model. The record is from RNAcentral. Lineage: Bacteria; Pseudomonadati; Pseudomonadota; Alphaproteobacteria; Hyphomicrobiales; Hyphomicrobiaceae.